UGAUGCACGACGUCUGACGGAGCAACGCCGCGUGAGUGAAGAAGGCCUUCGGGUCGUAAAACUCUGUUGCCGGGGAAGAACAAGUGCCGUUCGAACAGGGCGGCGCCUUGACGGUACCCGGCCAGAAAGCCACGGCUAACUACGUGCCAGCAGCCGCGGUAAUACGUAGGUGGCAAGCGUUGUCCGGAAUUAUUGGGCGUAAAGCGCGCGCAGGCGGCUUCUUAAGUCUGAUGUGAAAUCUUGCGGCUCAACCGCAAGCGGUCAUUGGAAACUGGGAGGCUUGAGUGCAGAAGAGGAGAGUGGAAUUCCACGUGUAGCGGUGAAAUGCGUAGAGAUGUGGAGGAACACCAGUGGCGAAGGCGGCUCUCUGGUCUGUAACUGACGCUGAGGCGCGAAAGCGUGGGGAGCAAACAGGAUUAGAUACCCUGGUAGUCCACGCCGUAAACGAUGAGUGCUAAGUGUUAGAGGGUUUCCGCCCUUUAGUGCUGCAGCUAACGCAUUAAGCACUCCGCCUGGGGAGUACGGCCGCAAGGCUGAAAUCAAAAA
RNAcentral lists this ribosomal RNA (546 nucleotides) under uncultured bacterium. RNAcentral describes it as "bacterial SSU rRNA". It matches the Rfam family "Bacterial small subunit ribosomal RNA", at positions 369 to 906 of the family's 1533-position model. The record is from RNAcentral.